This 73-nucleotide transfer RNA is filed under the name Canis lupus familiaris (dog). It matches the Rfam family "tRNA". From Rfam's summary of the family: Transfer RNA (tRNA) molecules are approximately 80 nucleotides in length. Their secondary structure includes four short double-helical elements and three loops (D, anti-codon, and T loops). RNAcentral also lists the same sequence under 1 other name. Lineage: Eukaryota; Metazoa; Chordata; Mammalia; Carnivora; Canidae. The record is from Rfam by way of RNAcentral.
ACCUGGCUGGCUCAGUCCGUAGAGCAUGCAACUCUUAAUCUCAGGGUUGUGAGUUCAAGCCCCACCUUAGGUG